AUUAUAAAAUACUAAAAUAGUAGAUAAUUAUUUAUUGAAACUUAAAUAUUUUGGCGGUAUUUUAGUUUAUUUAGAGGAAUCUGUUUAUUAAUUGAUAAUCCACGAAUAAAUUUACUUAAUUUAUUAUUUUGUAUAUCGUUGUUAAAAAAAUAUUUUUUAAUAAUUAUAAUAUUUUAAAUUUAUUAAAUAAAAUUAAAUCAAAUCAAGAUGCAGAUUAUAAUUAAGAAUAUAAUGGAUUACAAUAAAUUUAUUUAAAUGAAUUUUAAUUUGUAAUAAUUAAAUGAAAGUGGAUUUAAAUGUAAUUUUAUUUAUUU
RNAcentral lists this ribosomal RNA (314 nucleotides) under Charissa ambiguata (annulet). RNAcentral describes it as "partial 12S ribosomal RNA". The record is from RNAcentral. Lineage: Eukaryota; Metazoa; Arthropoda; Insecta; Lepidoptera; Geometridae.